UUUUUAUUGAGAAGAAUGAUGGAAAUCUCUUCAAAUAUUUCUUUAUGGCCCUUGGACAAUGUGUUCGAGGAUUUCGAAAUGCAAUGCGACCCCUAAUCUUAGUCGACGGUACAACCCUUAAGGCGAGAUACGGGGGCAAGUUGAUUAUUACAACAUGCCAAGAUACGAACAUCCAAAUUUACCCUCUUGUGUUCGGCAUAGUCGACGGAGAAAAUGAUGUAGCAAUGAGUUGGUUUUUCAUGAAGUUGAGGAAAGUAAUUGGAGAUGUCGAAAAUCUUGCAUUCGUAACCGAUCGAGGGCAGUUAAUAAUAAAUGGUAUCGUCGAAAUCUUCCCCGAGGCACAUUAUGGUUAUUGUAUGUACCAUAUACAGGGAAACUUGAAGACCAGGUAUCGAGGCAAUGGUGUCGUUGCGUUGUUUAGGAGAGCUGUAGAGGCUUACAAUUUUGAAGAGUUUGAUAAGUUCAUGGUCGAAAUAGACAGUAAAUAGCAUGCUGCAUGGGAGUAUCUAACAGAGAUGGGGAUUGAACAUUGGGCACGAUCACAUUUUCCAGGACGUCGAUACAACAUGAUGACGUCGAACAAUGCGGAGUCCCUUAACGCUUUAUUCAAGAAAGAUCGAGAGUUACCAAUUCUCGCAAUGAUUGAGAACAUUCGUGACAAGCUACAACAGUGGUUUCAUGAUCGACGUGAGGAAUCACAGAGUUGUGCAAGUGUGCUAACCCCGGCUCAAGAAGAUAAGCUCUUCAAGACUCUAGAUGUGACAAGAAAGGUAUAUGUAGAACCACUGGAUCAAUUUCGCUUCUCCGUGAGAUGUGCACGUAAUUUCGGAUACAUUGUGGACUUGAAUGAUAACACGUGCACGUGUAGACAAUUUCAGUUGGAGAGUUUUCCGUGUACACAUACAGUGGCAGUGGCUAUGCAUAGAGGAUUACCAUCACACACCUUAUACAGUGUGUAUUACAUGACUGAUUAUUGGAGAGCAGCAUAUGCGGAAACAAUAUUUCCUGUACCAAAUGAAGUCGAGUGGGAAGUGCCCGACCACAUUCUCCCACUGAAUAAUUUGUUGUCACCAGCAGUUGGACCACGUACUCCUAGACGUACACGUACGUCUAGAAUACCAUCUACCGGAGAGUUUCUCCAGCCUCGUAAGUGCCGUAGGUGUGGUGCAACAGGG
Molecule: long non-coding RNA, 1175 nt
Filed under: Olea europaea subsp. europaea
Lineage: Eukaryota; Viridiplantae; Streptophyta; Magnoliopsida; Lamiales; Oleaceae
Source: RNAcentral